UACGGAGGGAGCUAGCGUUGUUCGGAAUUACUGGGCGUAAAGCGUACGUAGGCGGUUAUUCAAGUCAGAGGUGAAAGCUCGGGGCUCAACCCCGGAACUGCCUUUGAAACUAGAUAGCUAGAAUCUUGGAGAGGUCAGUGGAAUUCCGAGUGUAGAGGUGAAAUUCGUAGAUAUUCGGAAGAACACCAGUGGCGAAGGCGACUGACUGGACAAGUAUUGACGCUGAGGUACGAAAGCGUGGGAGCAAACAGG
Molecule: ribosomal RNA, 252 nt
Filed under: uncultured bacterium
Lineage: Bacteria
Description: partial 16S ribosomal RNA
Rfam family: Bacterial small subunit ribosomal RNA
Source: RNAcentral